AUAGGUUUGCAUUCAUGUUGCAUAUUUGUGUUGAUUUCAGGUGAUUUGGAGCAGUUGACGAGCUAACUGGAAGAAGCGGACCUGAUCAUGUCAAACCACUCGACCCCGACGUCGAGUAGAAGCUUCAAGACCUCAACAGACCACUCGACCCCCUGGUCGAGUAGGGGACUUCACAAUUUCAUCUCAUCACUCAACCCCCUGGCCGAGUACCACCACGAGAGAUACUCGAUCACUUCACUCGACCCCCUGGUCGAGUGUAUUCAACUCCACCACCUGACCAGUCACUCGAUCACUUCACUCGACCCCCUGGUCGAGUGUAUUCACCUCCACCACCUGACCAGUCACUCGAUCAGUUCACUCGACCCCCUGGUCGAGUGUCUUCACCACCACCCCUCGACUACAUACUCGAUGGCGAGCUUCAGAGUCUUCUUCAUUCCGCACUCAACCAGACAGUCGAGCAUAAGGAAGAAAAGAAGACUCCAGCAUAUCACUCGACCUCUCACUCGACCACAUGGGUCGAGUACAGUUCUUAAUCUGUUCCAAUACUGCGUCGUUUUGAGUAUUAGGGUUUCAGAAUAUUUUGCUAUAAGUAGCAUGUGCUUUAUAUUUUCGAGAACAAGUUUUUUAUCUAGUUUUAUUCCGGAGACACUGUGUUCUUAACAUUUUGUAAUCCGGAUUUCUCUUUAUCUAUUCAGUAUUCAAUAUUUGUUCUUGAUUUUGUUUACUGUUGUUCAUCAUGUUAUCAUCUUGCUAUUACUCUGUUGUUAUCAUGUUUUCAUUCCAUUCAACGUUUAUGUUUUCUACAAUGAUGUCUGAGUAGUGAAUAGGUUUCUAAGGAUGGGUUAGAGUAGUUUAGAAUUCUCAGUAUGCUAGGUUGUUGAGUUUGAUUGAUAGAUCCCUUCUGGAUUAGUUGUUCUUAAUGCCUAUUGCUUUCUGAUUAACUGGAAUUUGAGCCUAGACAUUUCCGCGCCCAAAAGGUGUUCGAUGAAAUGACUGAACCACUAAUUCUAGAGAUUCGUGGCCCUGUACCAAGGUAUUGGUUGCAGGGAGCGUUUUGGCUUUAACUUGUUGAUUCGUAAUGCCUGUUAGGUUAGCUCUCAUUAAUGGUGAUUGAGUCUGGGACUAGCUUAACUUGAGGGUCUCUAUUGCGGUGGCACUUAGAUUUGGUUAAUGAACUUGUUGUCUAGGGAUAAUUUACUGAGCAUGUCAAUCACAUGUAAACUGAGGAAACAAAACUACUCAAUUAUCCCAUCCUCGAGAAUUCUUUAUCUGAUUAAUUUUAUUGUUUAGUCUACUGUUGUUUACUGCAUCUUGUCAUUUGUUGCUUAGUUUCUGCAAUUCUUUCCAGUUACUCGACCUGAUACUCGACCACCCAGUUGCCUGGCAACAGACUGUGCAGUCGAUCCCAUGUCUAUCUUUGUACAAAUCUUUAUUUUUCCUUG
Molecule: small RNA, 1442 nt
Filed under: Arabidopsis thaliana (thale cress)
Lineage: Eukaryota; Viridiplantae; Streptophyta; Magnoliopsida; Brassicales; Brassicaceae
Description: ATSL207550
Source: RNAcentral